CACCGGCGGCUCGAGUGGUAACCGUUAUUAUUGGGUCUAAAGGGUCUGUAGCCGGCCGGAUAAGUCUCUUGGGAAAUCUGGCGGCUUAACCGUCAGGCGUCUAAGGGAUACUGGCAAUCUUGGAACCGGGAGAGGUGAGAGGUACUUCAGGGGUAGGGGUGAAAUCUUGUAAUCCUUGAAGGACCACCAGUGGCGAAGGCGUCUCACCAGAACGGACCUGACGGCAAGGGACGAAAGCUAGGGGCACGAACCGGAUUAGAUACCCGGGUAGUCCUAGCCGUAAACGAUACUCGCUAGGUGUCGGCCACGGUGCGACCGUUGUCGGUGCCGUAGGGAAGCCGUGAAGCGAGCCACCUGGGAAGUACGGCCGCAAGGCUGAAACUUAAAGGAAUUGGCGGGGGAGCACCACAACGGGUGGAGCUUGCGGUUUAAUUGGAUUCAACGCCGGA
This 449-nucleotide ribosomal RNA is filed under the name uncultured archaeon. RNAcentral describes it as "bacterial SSU rRNA". It matches the Rfam family "Archaeal small subunit ribosomal RNA", at positions 474 to 922 of the family's 1478-position model. The record is from RNAcentral.